CAGCAGUCGCGGUAAUACAGAGGGUGCGAGCGUUAAUCGGAUUUACUGGGCGUAAAGCGUGCGUAGGCGGCUUCUUAAGUCGGAUGUGAAAUCCCUGAGCUUAACUUAGGAAUUGCAUUCGAUACUGGGAAGCUAGAGUAUGGGAGAGGAUGGUAGAAUUCCAGGUGUAGCGGUGAAAUGCGUAGAGAUCUGGAGGAAUACCGAUGGCGAAGGCAGCCAUCUGGCCUAAUACUGACGCUGAGGUACGAAAGCAUGGGGAGCAAACAGGAUUAGAGACCCCCGUAGUCCCUGUCUCUUAUAC
RNAcentral lists this ribosomal RNA (301 nucleotides) under uncultured bacterium. RNAcentral describes it as "partial 16S ribosomal RNA". It matches the Rfam family "Bacterial small subunit ribosomal RNA", at positions 509 to 807 of the family's 1533-position model. The record is from RNAcentral.